CCCAAAGUGGCUAUUAAGGCCAGGAGACUUUGAUGGCCACUCCAGAACCUUCACCUUUUUUUGCUGUUACCACUGGAGGGUCAACUUGUGCUUAGGGUCCAAGAGCAUCCCAUGCGCAGCCUUCGUGCAGAAGAAUACAAAUUGUCUGCCAGUAUUUUUUGAUAACAUGUUGCAUUCAUCUUGCCAUCAAUUUUCACAAGAUUCCCAUUGCCGUUAGAGCUCUCACACCAGUGAGCUACCACCUUGCUUCACAGUGGGGAUGGUAUUCUUUUCACUAUAGGCUUUGUUGAC
Pelobates cultripes (western spadefoot toad) is the source of this 291-nucleotide non-coding RNA. NCBI's taxonomy places the organism in Eukaryota, Metazoa, Chordata, Amphibia, Anura, Pelobatidae. The record is from the annotation of a GenBank genome assembly.